ACAAUGAUCUUGCACUCGCUGCCUAAAUAGAGCAGCGACGCCGCCCGGUGUGUGUCUCCGACACCGGCCCCGGCGCCACUAAGGAGACUUACCGAAGCGGAGCCUGAUGGCGCUUUGCAAGGGACACUCAAGCCGUCUAGGAAGGGACUCGCGGGUCACCGUGCGACGUCCCGACCGAAUGCUAAUCGGUGACUGAGCCUGGAGAUGCUUCCCAGGGGGCUGUCGUGGACGCGAGUUCGAUUCUCGCCGCCUCCACCA
Molecule: transfer-messenger RNA, 258 nt
Filed under: Clostridiales bacterium
Lineage: Bacteria; Bacillati; Bacillota; Clostridia; Eubacteriales
Rfam family: transfer-messenger RNA
About the family: Bacterial tmRNA, also known as 10Sa RNA or SsrA, is named for its dual tRNA and mRNA-like properties. Its role is to liberate the mRNA from a stalled ribosome. To accomplish this part of the tmRNA is used as a reading frame that ends in a translation stop signal.
Source: Rfam by way of RNAcentral